AUUGAACGCUGGCGGCAGGCUUAACACAUGCAAGUCGAGCGGGGUGAUGGUGCUUGCACUAUCACUUAGCGGCGGACGGGUGAGUAAUGCUUAGGAAUCUGCCUAUUAGUGGGGGACAACAUCUCGAAAGGGAUGCUAAUACCGCAUACGUCCUACGGGAGAAAGCAGGGGAUCACUUGUGACCUUGCGCUAAUAGAUGAGCCUAAGUCGGAUUAGCUAGUGGGUGGGGUAAAGGCCUACAAAGGCGACGAUCUGUAGCGGGUCUGAGGGGAUGAUCCGCCACACUGGGACUGAGACACGGCCCAGACUCCUACGGGAGGCAGCAGUGGGGAAUAUUGGACAAUGGGGGGAACCCUGAUCCAGCCAUGCCGCGUGUGUGAAGAAGGCCUUAUGGUUGUAAAGCACUUUAAGCGAGGAGGAGGCUCUUUUGGUUAAUACCCAAGAUGAGUGGACGUUACUCGCAGAAUAAGCACCGGCUAACUCUGUGCCAGCCGCCGCAUAA
RNAcentral lists this ribosomal RNA (502 nucleotides) under uncultured bacterium. RNAcentral describes it as "partial 16S ribosomal RNA". It matches the Rfam family "Bacterial small subunit ribosomal RNA", at positions 30 to 522 of the family's 1533-position model. The record is from RNAcentral.